Octopus sinensis (East Asian common octopus) is the source of this 275-nucleotide long non-coding RNA. RefSeq lists it as uncharacterized. The record is from RefSeq and is a predicted model, not a curated record. NCBI's taxonomy places the organism in Eukaryota, Metazoa, Mollusca, Cephalopoda, Octopoda, Octopodidae. The transcript is spliced from 3 exons.
UGCCUUUGAUCCUUUCGGGGUCGAUAAAUGAAGUACCAGUGAAACACUGGAGUCGAUAUAAUCGACUUAAUCCGUUUGUCUGUCCUUGAUUGUUCUCUCUGUAUUUAGCCCCUUGAGGGUGGUAAAAAUAUAGGUAUUUGUCUACCGUCACGUUCUGAGUUCAAAUUCCACCGAGGUCGACUUUGCCUUUUAUCAUUUCGGAGACGAUAAAUUAAGUACCAGUUACGCAUCGGGGUUGAUGUAAUUGACUUAAUCAUCGUUUGUCUCGUCCUCAU